RNAcentral lists this ribosomal RNA (465 nucleotides) under Vreelandella stevensii. RNAcentral describes it as "partial 16S ribosomal RNA". It matches the Rfam family "Bacterial small subunit ribosomal RNA", at positions 338 to 795 of the family's 1533-position model. The record is from RNAcentral. Lineage: Bacteria; Pseudomonadati; Pseudomonadota; Gammaproteobacteria; Oceanospirillales; Halomonadaceae.
CCUACGGGAGGCUGCAGUGGGGAAUAUUGGACAAUGGGGGCAACCCUGAUCCAGCCAUGCCGCGUGUGUGAAGAAGGCCCUCGGGUUGUAAAGCACUUUCAGUGAGGAAGAACGCCUGGUGGUUAAUACCCAUCAGGAAAGACAUCACUCACAGAAGAAGCACCGGCUAACUCCGUGCCAGCAGCCGCGGUAAUACGGAGGGUGCGAGCGUUAAUCGGAAUUACUGGGCGUAAAGCGCGCGUAGGUGGCUUGAUAAGCCGGGUGUGAAAGCCCCGGGCUCAACCUGGGAACGGCAUCCGGAACUGUCAAGCUAGAGUGCAGGAGAGGAAGGUAGAAUUCCCGGUGUAGCGGUGAAAUGCGUAGAGAUCGGGAGGAAUACCAGUGGCGAAGGCGGCCUUCUGGACUGACACUGACACUGAGGUGCGAAAGCGUGGGUAGCAAACAGGAUUAGAUACCCCAGUAGUC